Molecule: ribosomal RNA, 425 nt
Filed under: uncultured bacterium
Lineage: Bacteria
Description: bacterial SSU rRNA
Rfam family: Bacterial small subunit ribosomal RNA
Source: RNAcentral
GACGAACGCUGGCGGCGUGCUUAACACAUGCAAGUCAAGGGGGCCCAGCAAUGGGCAACCGGCGAACGGGUGCGUAACACGUGAGCAACCUACCGAAAUGUGGGGGAUAGCCGGCCUAACGGCCGAGUAAUACCGCAUACGCUCUCGAUGAGGCAUUUCAUUGAGAGGAAACCUACGGGACAUUUCGAGGGGCUCGCGGCCUAUCAGCUAGUUGGAGAGGUAACGGCUCACCAAGGCAACGACGGGUAGCUGGUCUGAGAGGAUGGCCAGCCACAUUGGGGACUGAGAUACGGCCCAGACUCCUACGGGAGGCAGCAGUGGGGAAUCUUGCGCAAUGGCCUAACGGCUGACGCAGCGACGCCGCGUGUAGGAUGAAGCUCCUCGGAGUGUAAACUACUGUUGCCCGGGACGAACAGCUCGAUUAA